This 1721-nucleotide long non-coding RNA is filed under the name Mus musculus (house mouse). Its description in RNAcentral is "predicted gene, 56800". Lineage: Eukaryota; Metazoa; Chordata; Mammalia; Rodentia; Muridae. The record is from RNAcentral.
UGGCGUACAGUGUGCGGCGCCUCUGGCUUUCUUCCCUCAGUUGCCGGCUCCUGUUUGGCUCUCGGCGUUCCUCCUGGAGUCGCCUCUGUUCUUCAUCUAGGAGGCUGUCCUGGAGCUCUGCUCGUUGCAGCUUCUCCUCCCGGAAGCGCUGCUCCUCCCUGUCGCGGAACCGCUGCUCCUGCUCCAGGCGCUCCUCCGCCCGCUGCGGCCUCUCCCACUGGUUGCGCUGGCGCGCCUCCUCAGCGGGACGCUCCUGUUGGAGGUCGCGGCGCUGCUCCUCCUGCUCCCGGAGCUGACGCUCCCCCAGCUCCUGGCGAAGCCUCUGCUCCUGCCUGCUAGGCCUAGAGUAGACCUUGUUCUGACGGGCGUCUGCCUCGUUUUCGAGCUGCCACUGCCACCUCUGGGUAAUGCUCUCGUCGGGUUCCCGGAUCCGCGUCAGCUCGUCCUCCUCAGCCAGCUCCUGCCUCAGCUCUUGCUCGCGUCUUAGCUCUUGCUCACGCCUCAGUUCCUGCCUCAACUCCUGCUCGCGCCUUAGCUCUUGCUCGCGCCUCAGUUCCUGCCUCAACUCCUGCUCGCGCCUUAGCUCUUGCUCGCGCCUCAGUUCCUGCCUCAACUCCUGCUCGCGCCUUAGCUCCUGCUCGCGCCUCAGCUCCUGCCUCAGCUCCUGCUCGCGCCUUAGCUCUUGUUCGCGCCUCAGCUCCUGCCUUCGAUUCAGCUCCUGCUCGCGCCUCAGCUCUUGCCUCAGCUCCUGCUCGCGCCUUAGCUCCUGCUCGCGCCUCUGUUCCUGCCUCAACUCCUGCUCGCGCCUUAGCUCUUGUUCGCGCCUCAACUCCAGAUCGCGCCUUAGCAGGGGUUCGCGUAGCUCUUCUUGCCUGCGCUUCUGCAGCCUUCUCUCUUCUGUUUGGCCCUUGCCCUUGAGUUCCUGCCUCUCUUGCCUUUGCUGUUCCUCUACCUCAGAAAACUCCUCCGCGUCACGACCCUUACUCCAGCCAAGCGGCUCUUUCUCUGCAAGGCGUUCCUCCAGUUCUUGCAGUUCUCGCCUUUGCAGUCUCUGCUCUUCAUCGCGGUGCUGCCUGUAGCGCUGCUCCAGCCGCUGCUCCUCAGCGCGCUCCUCCUGCUCACGUCUCUUCUGCCAGCUUCGGCGCCCAGGUUCUUCGUCCAGUUGUCUGCUUCGGGGCUCGAAUCUCCUUUGGUCUUCUUGCCUGCGAUCUUGUGACAGGUUCCUCUUUUCAUUGGGCAGGGCUCUCUUCUCGCCUAGCUCUGCGGCCUGAUCGAGAGCAUAAUAGCAAGCUUGAGCAAUCUUGAAAAGGAACAGGAGGAAUUCGUUGAAAUCAACACGCCCGUUGCAGUCGCGAUCCAGAAGUUCUAGGGUCAGGUCUAUCGUCUCAGGGUCAUGUGGUCUCUAUGAAAAGAUUAAAACAAACAAACAAAAAAGUUUUAUAAUUAAUUAUUUACAAGUAGUAAACUUUUGCACUCACGUUUGUUUUGGGGAGGGGACUAUUUGGAGCGAUUAGAAAAUGCACAGAGGAGCUGGAGAGAUGGUUUAGCCGCUAAGAGCACUUGACUGCUCUUCCAUAAGUCCUGAGUUCAAUUCCCAGCAACCACAUGGUGGCUCACAACCCCAUCUGUAAUGGGAUCUGAUGCUCUCUUCUGGUGUGUCUAAAGGGAUCGACAGUGUACUCACAUAUAAAAUAAAUAAAUAAAUCUUUUUAAAAAGCAAA